This 524-nucleotide ribosomal RNA is filed under the name uncultured bacterium. Its description in RNAcentral is "partial 16S ribosomal RNA". It matches the Rfam family "Bacterial small subunit ribosomal RNA", at positions 28 to 523 of the family's 1533-position model. The record is from RNAcentral.
GACGAACGCUGGCGGCGUGCUUAACACAUGCAAGUCGAACGAGACGAUUGAAAGCUUGCUUUUGAAAGUCGAGUGGCAAACGGGUGAGUAACGCGUAGACAACCUGCCUUUGAGAUGGGGACAACAGUUCGAAAGGACUGCUAAUACCGAAUGUUGUAUAUUUUCCACAUGGAAGAUAUAUUAAAGAUGGCCUCUAUUUAUAAGCUAUCGCUCAAAGAUGGGUCUGCGUCUGAUUAGCUGGUUGGUGGGGUAACGGCCUACCAAGGCGACGAUCAGUAGCCGGUCUGAGAGGAUGAACGGCCACAUUGGGACUGGGACACGGCCCAGACUGCUACGGGAGGCAGCAGUGGGGAAUCUUCCACAAUGGACGAAAGUCUGAUGGAGCAACGCCGCGUGAGUGAAGAAGGGUUUCGGCUCGUAAAGCUCUGUUGUCGGGGACGAAUGUGCAGUAUUUGAAUAAAGUAUUGCAAUGACGGUACCUGACGAGGAAGCCACGGCUAACUACGUGCCAGCCGCCGCGGUAA